CGUCACUCGUGCCGUGAGGUGUUGGUUCAGUCCCKCAACGAGCGCAACCCUCGCCCUCUGUUGCCDCCGGGUCAUGCCGGNCDCUCUGAGGGNACUGCCAGCKACAAGUUGGAGGAAGGAGAGGAUGACGUCAAGUCAUYAUGGCCCUUAUGCCUAGGGCUACACACGUGCAACAAUGGCCGGUACAGACGGACGCGAGACCGAGAGGUDGAGCAAAUCCGAGAAAGCCDNWNCCAGUUCGGAUUGAGGUCUGCAACUNGACCUNAUGAAGUCGGAAUCGCUAGUAAUCGCGUAUCAGCACGACGCGGUNAAUACGUUCCC
Molecule: ribosomal RNA, 321 nt
Filed under: Leptospirillum sp. LfLa
Lineage: Bacteria; Pseudomonadati; Nitrospirota; Nitrospiria; Nitrospirales; Nitrospiraceae
Description: partial 16S ribosomal RNA
Rfam family: Bacterial small subunit ribosomal RNA
Source: RNAcentral